CCCGAAGUCCAUGACACAUUCGCAUGUCGGGUCUGAUCCUAAUCUUGAUCAUUACCUAAGAAGUUAAGACUAGGGGAUGAGCUUGAAAUAGCUCAUUGUGAAUCAAUAUCAAUAUAAUCAAUUACAAUUUCAUUACAGUAUAUGCAGUACAAGGCAAAUUUCAAUAAACAUACGAAUAUGUCAUGAGCGCGAUGCGAUGCACAAGCGGGCGCUUCAUGAUAUAGAAUUUAAGUCUAACUAUAUGUACUAGGACGAUUUGCCAAUAUCAUUAGUGUAGUAUUUACAUCAUACAAACUGGCACACUUAUAUUUGGUGCAUUAUCCUCAAAGACACCACUGCUUAAUUAUUUGCGCAUUCCGGAAGACAACUCAUCUUACUCGAUUGCCUUUAAUCUAUUACGGAUGACUUGAAAACAGAAUAUUUCAUGUUCGAUUAUACAAAGCCUUGCACACAUAAAGCUUUCACUAUGAGAUUUCAUACAUGAAAUACCAUAAUACAGAUUUUAUUAAGCCAUCCAUUCUUAAGUCUCAUUUUUUAUUAUUGAUAGUGAUGUUUCUAGAAACUCGUUGCUUCUUACUUUGUUUUGCAAAAUUUCAUUAUCUUUCAAGGCAGCGAAAAAACACUAUACAUGUCAGACUUUAAUUAGGUUGAGUAACAUGCAUUUUCUAAUUAACAUAUAUAGUCGAUGUGUUUAAAUAAUGCAUGCCUAAAACCCAAAUCCGAAAACCACAAACCAGAGCCAAAAAUAAUACUUUACAGUCCAAAAACUGAAUAAAUACUUAUUCAAAAUUAUUAAUAGUAAAAAUAGUCCGAAGUCCAUGAUACGUCCACAUGUCGGGUCUGAUCCUAGUCUCGAUCAUUACCUAAGAAGUUAAGACUAAGAGGUGAGCUUAAAAUAGCUCAGUGUGAAUCAAUAUAAAUAUAAUCAAUCAUUUCAUUAUAAUACAGUACAAUACAAGGAAAUUUUCAAUAAACGUACGAAAAUGUCAUGAGCAUGAUGCAAUGCAAAAAGGUUCCUACCCAUCCAUCUGCUACACACCACGAGUUCUCCAAGACCUGUUUGCCAAACACCAAACAAUGCAAGCCAAAGCUCGAUGUGGAUAAACCACCAGUACAGUAGUACAGAUAAACUGCUAAUAAAUAUGCAGAUAAACUGCCAAUAAAUAUGCAGACAAGCAGUCAAUUUCGUGGACAAGCCACCAAUAAUGGUAAAUGCCGUGAAACUACCAAUAGUGUGGACAAGCCAGCAACAAUGCAAACAAGCUGCCAAUAAUGCGACAAAAUUUCCAAUCUCUUCGGUACUCCCAGUGCAGUGCACUGACAACAACAUUGCGAAAUUUAACUGUCGUCGGUACUCCACGAAACUCCUCCAUCAACCACAAGAACCCACCUCAUGCAUAUGCAAUAAGACAUACAAUCAUUGAGCAAAAUCAUGCUUUCAGUUUGAUUUUAGUACAAUGGCAUGUUUUACAUGCUUACGGUAACAUAUUCAAUUCAAUGGCAUGGUUAAACAUGCUCAUAGUAACAUAUUCAGUUUAAUGGCGUGCCUAACGUGCUUAUGGUAACAGUUUUAGUACAUGCAUUGCAAGCCUUCAGUCAAUCGAUGAAAUGGCGUCGCAAUCAAACACACUUAAUAUGCAAUCAAACAAUGACUCAAUGAGUUGCAUGCUAUUCAAGUACCCAGUAAACAAUAACAAUCCAUAUCAUGUCAUUACAAAGUAUAUCAAUAUCAAGCAUGCAACAAAUUAAUCAGACACACCAAAUGUGCAUUCAUGCAAAUUUGAUAAGGCUUAUCUCUCGAUAAAUUGUAAAUAACGUACCAUGCUCGGCACGGUUCAAUAUUCUUAUUUGGCCACUCGGCCAUGUCCUACCAGCAAGCAAUAUUUACCAAUUCAACAUAUAUUUUAAUGUAUUACAAACAAUUAUUUAAACUUUGGACUCACACCUUAAUUCGCAACUCGCAGCAUUACGCUGUAAAGAGCCACACUUUCGCACCUUAAACGAUCGUUGAUUUAAAAAAAAUCAUUAAAACAUUCAUCUUACACUUAUGACCAGCCUUGAAACAUUCCUAAGGGUUUAGACAAGGCAAUAUUUCAAUAACGAAUUUUCAAAUUCAAAAAAAUGAUCAAUCUUACACUAAAACAACGCUUAGCGAGAGUGCGAUUAGGUUCCGAUUUUGCUGCUGGUCUGGGAUGUUACAAUCAGUACCUAUGAUCAAUUUUAUAAAAAAAAUCAGUAAUUAAACUUUACUAAAAGGCCUUAGAAAUAUCUGGCCAAAACAUCAGCUUUAAGCGAAAUUAAUACAAUACUAGCUUUCGCUAAAUUCUGCACUUACGCUACUCGUUAACUACUUUCGUGUCACCAAAUGAAGGGAAACGACUUCGCCUAAAAAUUAUAAAAACAUGAUUAAAAACUGAUUAUAUGAGACGAGUGACAAUAUUUUCCUAGCUAGAAAAGGGUGGCAAAAGUGAUAAAACAUCAACCCCCAAAGUGGUGUUUAAGGCACACCACCAUGGACGGCACAAAGAGGGGCUGCUUAGGGAUUGUUUUAAAUUUGAAAAAAUAAAGGAAAAGGGGAUGGAAACAGAGUUAUAUCAGUAUAAUAAGGACAAAAAUCGACAGACACAAUAGAGGUUUUAAGGAACGGGAAACACCCCCAACGGCGGUGGUUUAGAGUGCUGCCUUGGGAAAUUUUUAGGGAAUGUAUAAGGCUAAAAGGAGGCUAUUUUUUAACAACAAAUUAACAUAAAAUUCCAGAAAUAAAUCAAUAAUAAAUGGAAAUAAAAGGAAGAGAAAAUAAACAUCACCUACACAAAGAGGAGAAGGGCGACAAUGGUGAUUUUUUUGUGGAAGCAAUGAGGGUUGUUUUCGUGUGGUAAAAAUAAAAAAAUGAAGAUUGGAAAAUGAAUGGAAAAAGGACAGCAAGAAGUUGAAGAAAAUGAACAAAAAACCACCACCAGUAGAGGAGAAGUGGACAGUAAAGAGGGUGCAAAAGACUAGGGUAUGGGUAACUCAAGAAAGGAGAAGAGAAAGGAAAAAAAAUAUAUUGAGAGAGAAGGAAGAUGAGGUGUUGGAUGGUAGCUACAAAAGGAGAACAAUGAAGAAGUACAGAAAAUUUAAAAAAAAGUAUGCUUAACCCUAGGGUUACUACGUUGGAUAGCAAUACAAUAGGAGCAAGAAGAAAAUUUUGUAAAAAAUUCAACAAUAUGCAAUAGAAGGGAUUCAAACUCAGGUCUCAAAGACUACUGCACUCACUCCUUAAUUCUCUCAAAAAUUUGGGAUGUUACAUAAAUAAUCCCCCUUAGUGUGUCUUGCACCAAUAAUUACAGAUAAUCAAAUAAGCUAGAUUUUGGCGAAAAGUCCUUGUUGCGAACUGCUGUUAGCGACUUGCCCUAAUGAACUCAGAUUCGUAUUACGGUCCUUAUCUAUUCCUAAUUUAGACCCAAGUCUGCAUAUUCAUGUUUUACGAAAACAUACUGGCAGAUUCAUAAAGAAGACUCCUAUUGUGGGUUAAGAAAGAAAAUCAGCUCAUCUUAAUCAAACAGACCAAUCUAGUGAAUCGUCGUAUCCUACCUCAAUAAUAAUAGAUAACCCAUCCAUAGUGGUCCACUUCUAGAAACAGAUAACAUGUAGGCAAAUUCUUAAGAGCGAAUCCCCUAUUUACGGAAUCAUACCUGUAAGAUAAUCCUGAUGGAUUAUCUUAUCUUGCACAUAUGGACUCACGUAACCAGAUAACCCUCUCUUGGUGGACUUAUCAAGCGGAUCCCAAUUUUGUGGAUGCAAAGAGCCAACAUACAUAUAUAUAUUCUCACACAAGAUUUUAACUUGCGAACUUCCCCAUGAUUAUGCAACCUAGGCAAGUCAGGCGAAUUCAUAACGCGAAUUGCUUUGUAGAUCUCAUUGGAUCUGGCCAUGGUCAUAGACCUGCCUUCAUUCAAACGUCCCAUAAAGGACUUUCAUACAUCCGAUAAAGGGGCUCUCAUAUACGUCCCAUAAAGGGCACUCAUAUACUGGCACCUUUCUUCAUACAAUCCACUUGAACCUCCGCAAAUCCUCUUUGUUAAUUCGAGAAAGCAUCGUACGAUAAACCGAAAGAUUUUAGGGCAUUACAAAACACUUUCCAAAUCAUUUAAUAGGGUUUUUUAGCAACUAAAACAUGAACUUUCAAUCAAUUAACAUCUCAUCAUUGAAUUGAAACACAAGUAGCAGCAUAAUUACGUCUUUCAACGCAACAAUUGCAUUUUUAAGCAUCCAAACACACCAAUAAUCAUAAAGUCAACAAUACAUACAAUUACAUAUCAUUUAAUCACUUCACAUUUUCAAACGUUCUAAUUACCUUACUACCAAACCUAGGCGAAGAGCAAAGGCUAGACUAUAUUAGUAACAAGUAAACCCUUUGUAUGUAAAAAUCUCGAUAUAUUUUUGGGAUAAAGGUGAAUCGUAAGGCCUAAUACGACCCAUAAAGCACUUGAUCACAAUCAACUUUGUACGCCUACUUGGGUAUUGAGCAUUUACCUGAAAAAAUGAAAUUCCUUGGAAUGUAUAAUUGCAAC
Molecule: long non-coding RNA, 4553 nt
Filed under: Gossypium barbadense (sea-island cotton)
Lineage: Eukaryota; Viridiplantae; Streptophyta; Magnoliopsida; Malvales; Malvaceae
Description: long non-coding RNA (GBAR_LNC022382)
Source: RNAcentral